RNAcentral lists this long non-coding RNA (982 nucleotides) under Homo sapiens (human). Its description in RNAcentral is "HSALNT0022015". Lineage: Eukaryota; Metazoa; Chordata; Mammalia; Primates; Hominidae. The record is from RNAcentral.
GAUGCCAUAGGCCCAAUUCUAUUUCCAGGUUAUUCUUUGCUUCCAGGGCAGCGCCAGCCAAGUCAUGUCCCACAUGAAGUCCUACCACUGCCACUGGUCAUCCUUGCUGCUGCUCAUCACCAGCUUCUAACCAAGCUGCUCCUCCAAGAAGCCCACCAUCUUGGCCCACCACAACCCCAACGCACAAGCAGAAUAUUAUCUUAAUGGUGGCGCUCCAUGGUUUCUUCAGCUGUGGAAGAGUGAAGGACAAAUUUCAUCUAAAGCACUACUCACACUGUACUUACUGCACAAAAGAGGCCAAAUUGGCAUGGCUUUCGACUAUCUCUGCAAAAUCCAUUUGGAUCCAUUUCUGCAACUGUGAUCUACUAUCAACCUGGGGGGCAAAGGAGAAAUCAGCCCCAGGAGCGUGGAAACCACUAUACUUAAAACUAUAUCCUUUGCUUAUUUAUUUCAAGUAAAAGGCCACACAGACACAGAAAAUUAGAAGGCUCGUGAAAUAAGAUUUAAGUUCCAUUCUGGUUACAGGGUCCUCCCUGAUGUUCAAUCCUAGAGGCUAUACCUCCCACUCUUGAAGAAUUUCCAAACCUUCCAGGCCCAGGAGAGUUUUCCAUGUUGAAAGAUUGCAGGAUGGGACCCCAUAACAAUCCCCCAAAAGUUCAGGCUGAAAUUACAUGCAGGCCAAGUCUGUAUGAUGCAGCCCUCUGUAAUUGUUGGGUCUCUUCCAGAAGGCUCUCAACACAUGGGACUCCGAUGAAGUUCAGCAUGUGGAAAGGGCUGAAGCUUGAAGCCUGUGUAUUUGUAAUGGAAACACAGCAGUGACCCCAUGAUCCAGUGCCUUGUGAAGAAGAUGCAUGCUUCCCUUUCUGCCAUGAUUGAAAGUUUCCUGAGGCCUCCCCAGCCUUGCAGAACUGAAAAAGAAGAAUUCUUUAAUUGAAAAAUAGGCAAAGAAUACAAAGAGGCAAAUUACAAAAGGAAAAUAAAC